UGGUAAUACCGGAUGCUCCGCUCCAUCGCAUGGUGGGGUGGGAAAUGCUUUUGCGGCAUGGGAUGGGGUCGCGUCCUAUCAGCUUGUUGGCGGGGUGAUGGCCCACCAAGGCGUUGACGGGUAGCCGGCCUGAGAGGGUGACCGGCCACAUUGGGACUGAGAUACGGCCCAGACUCCUACGGGAGGCAGCAGUGGGGAAUAUUGCACAAUGGGCGCAAGCCUGAUGCAGCGACGCCGCGUGCGGGAUGGAGGCCUUCGGGUUGUAAACCGCUUUUGUUCAAGGGCAAGGCACGGUUUCGGCCGUGUUGAGUGGAUUGUUCGAAUAAGCACCGGCUAACUACGUGCCAGCAGCCGCGGUAAUACGUAGGGUGCGAGCGUUAUCCGGAUUUAUUGGGCGUAAAGGGCUCGUAGGCGGUUCGUCGCGUCCGGUGUGAAAGUCCAUCGCCUAACGGUGGAUCUGCGCCGGGUACGGGCGGGCUGGAGUGCGGUAGGGGAGACUGGAAUUCCCGGUGUAACGGUGGAAUGUGUAGAUAUCGGGAAAGAACACCA
Molecule: ribosomal RNA, 549 nt
Filed under: Bifidobacterium animalis subsp. lactis
Lineage: Bacteria; Bacillati; Actinomycetota; Actinomycetes; Bifidobacteriales; Bifidobacteriaceae
Description: bacterial SSU rRNA
Rfam family: Bacterial small subunit ribosomal RNA
Source: RNAcentral